RNAcentral lists this non-coding RNA (160 nucleotides) under Neoscelio sp. ZL-2020. The record is from RNAcentral. Lineage: Eukaryota; Metazoa; Arthropoda; Insecta; Hymenoptera; Scelionidae.
CAUUGAAAAUAAUUGCUGCGUUAUCUGUGUUGCUAGGAUAACGUCUUUGGCGUUGUGACACGGAUUAAUAACGAAACUAACGAAAUACAAAAUGAGGUGUUGCUUGUCCGUGGGUUCACCUAAAUCAAAAAUGUAACGGGAUGCUCGCAGAGCUUUUUUU